This 67-nucleotide transfer RNA is filed under the name Crassostrea tulipa. Its description in RNAcentral is "tRNA-Gln". The record is from RNAcentral. Lineage: Eukaryota; Metazoa; Mollusca; Bivalvia; Ostreida; Ostreidae.
UGUGCUAUAGUGUAAGAGCACGAAAGUUUUUGAUACUUUAAGCGCUUGUUAAUGCAAGUUGGCACAA